Molecule: ribosomal RNA, 434 nt
Filed under: uncultured bacterium
Lineage: Bacteria
Description: partial 16S ribosomal RNA
Rfam family: Bacterial small subunit ribosomal RNA
Source: RNAcentral
AACGAACGCUGGCGGCAGGCUUAACACAUGCAAGUCGAACGCAUGCCUUCGGGCAUGAGUGGCAGACGGGUGAGUAACGCGUGGGAACCUACCCCUUGGUACGGGAUAGCUCCGGGAAACUGGAGAUAAUACCGUAUGUGUCCUGAGGGACAAAGAUUCAUCGCCAAGGGAUGGGCCCGCGUCGGAUUAGCUAGUUGGUGGGGUAACGGCCUACCAAGGCGACGAUCCGUAGCUGGUCUAAGAGGAUGAUCAGCCACAUUGGGACUGAGACACGGCCCAAACCCCACCGGGGGGCGGCGGUGGGGAUAAUUGAACAUGGGCCGAAAGCCUGUCCCGGCCAGGCGGGUGGAUGGUUAAAGGCCCAGGGUUGUUAAGGCUCUUCACCCGGUGACAUAAUGACCGUAACCCGAGGAAGAACCCCGGGUUACUUCGUG